CCUACGUGCGGCUGCAGUGGGUAAUAUUUCACAAUGGGGGAAACCCUGAUGCCGCGACGCCGCGUGAGUGAAGAAGUAUUUCGGUAUGUAAAGCUCUAUCAGCAUGGAAGAAAAUGACGGUCCCUUAUUAAGAAGCCCCUGCUAACUACGUGCCAGCCGCCGCGGUAAUACGUAGGGGGCAAGCGUUAUCCGGAUUUACUGGGUGUAAAGGGAGCGUAGACGGCAGCACAAGUCUGGAGGGAACUGCCGGGGCUUAACCCCGGAAUUGCUUUGGAAACUGUGCAGCUAGAGUGCAGGAGAGGUAAGUGGAAUUCCUAGUGUAGCGGUGAAAUGCGUAGAUAGUAGGAGGAACACCAGUGGCGAAGGCGGCUUACUGGACUGUAACUGACGUUGAGGCUCGAAAGCGUGGGGAGCAAACAGGAUUAGAUACCCUGGUAGUC
RNAcentral lists this ribosomal RNA (440 nucleotides) under uncultured bacterium. RNAcentral's name for it is "partial 16S ribosomal RNA". It matches the Rfam family "Bacterial small subunit ribosomal RNA", at positions 338 to 795 of the family's 1533-position model. The record is from RNAcentral.